This 609-nucleotide ribosomal RNA is filed under the name Sandalolitha dentata. RNAcentral's name for it is "eukaryotic LSU rRNA". The stretch from base 241 to 394 matches the Rfam family "5.8S ribosomal RNA". Lineage: Eukaryota; Metazoa; Cnidaria; Anthozoa; Scleractinia; Fungiidae. The record is from RNAcentral.
GGUUUCCGUAGGUGAACCUGCGGAAGGAUCAUUACCGAUGUAAUCCAAAAGCACGACUCCGUCGUGACUACCGUGUGAACCGUACCAAACUAUUCAGGGGUCGGCCAGUCCGUUAAAUGGCGGUCGGACGCGUGCGUUGCGCGCGGCCGCUCCGCCAGCCCCGCCUGUGUUUUUUUAACAUACGUGUCUUGUCUGAAAACGUGACCACUGCCGUGGUCCAGAGCAAAGAAAAAGAGAGACAACUUUUGACGGUGGAUCUCUUGGCUCACGCAUCGAUGAAGAACGCAGCCAGCUGCGAUAAGUAGUGUGAAUUGCAGAAUUCAGUGAAUCAUCGAAUCUUUGAACGCAAAUGGCGCUCUUGGGUUCUCCCAGGAGCAUGUCUGUCUGAGUGUCGGAUAUCAUCCAACGCACCUAGUCGUGCGGCGUUGAGGCGUCACGGCCCUUCUCGCGGCCGUGUCCCUUGAAAGUCAGAGAGACUCGCCGCGGCACGGGUUCGUUCCCUGCACACUCGCGGAGGCUAAAAACGCUUUUGCCCUUCGCGUGCACGGGAGCGGCCCGCCCGCCGAGUCGCGGAGGCGAACACUUUUCAACUCUUGACCUCAGAUCAGA